Molecule: non-coding RNA, 429 nt
Organism: Arachis ipaensis
Lineage: Eukaryota; Viridiplantae; Streptophyta; Magnoliopsida; Fabales; Fabaceae
Source: RefSeq, a predicted model, not a curated record
CAAAGUCAGAAGUUUAUUGAUUUAUUGAAUAAAUAUUUCGUCCAAUUUGGACUACAACAAAAGAAUUGGCUAAAAUGCCAAAAGAAAAAAAAACAAGUUCAGACAUAACAAAAUGAAAAAAAAAAUUAUAUAAUAAAGAGAACUCAGAGCUUUCAAGAAGGAAUUAAUGGAAGAAACUCCUCCACCAAACUAUUCGAUGCUGCAAUAAUCAGCUCAGGAGUAGUGUCUUGUUGUUCGAAGAUCUUCAGAUUUCGUGCCAAUCAAAUCUUCCACAACGUUAUUGCUAUGAGGCUUUUGUGACGGUAGCCUCCUCUUGCCCUCAUCACUACUUCUGUCUAACAAUCCCAAACUUCUAAGAAGAUGCCAGGUUCCAUUUGGCAUCUAGGGCAUGUACUAUCAAAAUUGGGGAUUCUCGUCUGAAUUCGAAGA